Molecule: transfer RNA, 90 nt
Filed under: Candidatus Saccharimonadota bacterium
Lineage: Bacteria; Candidatus Saccharimonadota
Description: tRNA-Ser
Rfam family: tRNA
About the family: Transfer RNA (tRNA) molecules are approximately 80 nucleotides in length. Their secondary structure includes four short double-helical elements and three loops (D, anti-codon, and T loops).
Source: RNAcentral
GGAAGGGUGCAGGAGUGGUUGAACUGGCACGCCUGGAACGCGUGUAAAGGAGCAAUCCUUUCGAGGGUUCGAAUCCCUCUCCUUCCGCCA